Corvus hawaiiensis (hawaiian crow) is the source of this 6395-nucleotide long non-coding RNA. RefSeq lists it as uncharacterized. The transcript is spliced from 2 exons. The record is from RefSeq and is a predicted model, not a curated record. Lineage: Eukaryota; Metazoa; Chordata; Aves; Passeriformes; Corvidae.
AAGAGGGCAGAAUCUGAAAGUCUCUCCUCGAGACCAUCUCCGCUCUUGCACUGCUUAAAAGCCCAAAGGUGCGCUUCAUCUCAACCGGGAAGCCGAGCCCCGGCAUACCGGCGCCAUAAAGCCCUGCCCCACUCCAUCACCUGACGGCAAGCCCCGCGCCACCCUCACGCCCGGCCCGACCCCUUGGCGCGCUGCCUCCCCCGACCGGCCCGCAGCUGCCGCCGGCUCUGCGCCCGCGUGCGGCCCUGAAACCGCUGCAAUUCCCCGCGUUGAGCAGUGCCAGCAGGCUGCUCGCGUCGACACUCGAAAGGGACUUGGCACGACCGCCCACCUCCUUGGGCCUCUGACUCCGCUUUCGGCCCCGAGCAAAGCCCAACCCGCUCCCCGGCGCCGCGGCACUGCCUCCGCGAUCCGCCCCUGUCAUCCUAGCCCCAUUUGGAUUGGCCGCUCGCCCGCCGCCGUAGGCAUUCUCUCUGGCGACAAGGGUGAGCAGCGGCAUCUGCGAAGCCACGGGAAGCCCUCCGCGCUCCGACGGCCUGGGGUCUCCUUCUCGCUUUGGCCUCGUCCUCUUUUGCGGCUGCAAGGCCGCGGGGACGAGGACGGAGGGGGUGGGUAACGGGGGAGGGGCUUCCCAUAUAUGUGGCACAGUGAAUAUUGGGGGUCCCUCCCCCUCCGUGAGGGCCUUUGGGGGGCACAGGAGGGACCCGGUAGGGCCGGUGCAGGGACUACCAAUAGAGGGGACAGAUUUGGGGUGGGGGGCAAAACAGGGACACCCCAGAAAGCCUCUCAAAUUGUCCCCUUGCCCUCCCUGAACCAGCCUAAUUCACCCCUAAAAUGGCUUCAAAGUGCCCCAAAUCUUGUCCACGGGUGGGGGGGCGAGUGAGGGCAUCAGGACACACACGUCUCCCAGCAGCUGCAUGCCCAGCCAGGAUGAGAAGCAGCACUGGGGCUGCUCCCAAUUUUUUUCCACCCUGAUAACACAGCCGGACACAAGCUGGGGAUGGGCACUGGCUCAGGCUUUACUGUCCAUCUGCAUGCCAUGAGUGAGCACAAAAUCCACCUGCAUCCUCUUGAUGUCUAUCUAACUUCGGUCAAAGUUACAAAGUGCUUAUAUAACUUGGGUUAUAAGAUAUCUGUGUAACCUAAUAUCAUUAUAACCUAAAUCAUGACUUUUUUUUCAAUAUAACCUCAAGAAUAUCAAUAUAACAUGAAGCAUAGCCUUCUAUACUUACAUAGCCUGAAUCAUAGCUUUUACUUAUGUAGCCUGAAUCAUAACUUCUAUACCUAUAUAACCUGAUGCUUAUAUAACCUGAAUCAUAACUUUUGAUAUCCCAUAUAACCUGAUAUGAGUAACUUUUUUUGUACAAUGUAAUUGCUAGUAUAUAGUAAACUAGUUGCUUAAAUGUGGAAUAGACAAAAAGAGAGGGGAAAAAAAACCAAAACAACUUACCAGGUGUAUAGUUUUAGAAGUAGAUAAGUGUAGUACUAAUGAGAAAUUGGCAGGCACAAAGCCAAUUAGCCACAAAACAAAGAAUUUAGGCCAGUUAAGACCAGAUGGACCAAGGAGCACCAUAACUACGCAUGCCCCAAAGACAAAGUUGAAAAGUUCAAGUGCAAAGAAGACUUUAGAAGCCUUCAUCAAAGACCCCCGAAGACCCCCAAACUGGGGAAGCACAAGCACAGUGCAAAGAAUUAUCUAAUAACCAUGGGAUCAUGCUAUGUAAAUUAGUUCCAGCGCGUAUGUGAUGAUGUUGUAAUGACAGAGAAGCAUUAAACAAAAUUUACUGUAUAAAUAUACCAGAGCACUUGACAAAGGCGGGUGAGUUAGGAGGAAAAGUCCCCCUCACCACCACCACUGCAAUAAACAAAUACCUGCUCUAUAGGCAUCGGUCUAUGGGAAUUUAUUUCCAGCCUAUCUUUCGGGCAUCACUCUGCAGAAACCUACCGUGGCAGGACUUCUCUGCCUGGCUGCAGCAUCCGUGGAAGCUGGGGACUCCCUUGUCAUGCCCCGAGAUUUUCUCGGAGGGACUCUGCGCUUCACUGGCUCUCUGCGGGGGCAGAGAAGGACCGGCUGACUGCAAAAAUUCAAGCUCACCCCUCAUCCAGCCCAAGCACUAGCGAAGAUGAGAUAGAUGAUCCUGGGGAGGGAACAAGUUCGGGGACUCCAAUAACAGCACAGCCGAGAAGUAAAGCAAAAAUAACCUUUGCCUCUGAUAGCCCCUCUGAGAGAAGUAAUAGGCCCUGGGGGAGAAGUAAUGCAAGUGAAAGUUCCCUUUUCCACUAGUGAUCUCAAUAGCUGGAGAGAAGAAGUUAGAAAUUACAGAGAAGACCCCGAAAAAGUUGCAAAACGGUUUGAAUUAAUUGUAAGAAACCAAGAUCCUGACUGGGGUGACAUUGAUUUAAUGCUGUCGGAGCUUACAGAAACAGAGAAGGAACUAGUAAUAAAAGCAGCUAAAGUGCAUGUAGAAGGGCAAAUUGCUAGUGGAGCUUUACAAGGGACCGUAGAACAGGCGUUCCCCACCUCUAAUCACAGCUGGAAUCCAAACGAUGAAAGAGAUUAUGCACUGCUAGUUAAAUACCAAAAUCAGAUAAAAAUUGGAUUGGAAAAUGCUAUCCCACAAGCAGUAAAUUGGUCCAUGAUAUUUCAAGUUAAACAAGGAUGCCAGAAGUCUCCUACUGCCUUUGUAGACAAACUCUGUGCAGCCUUGCAGAAAUACACAACCCUAGACCCCUCAUCAGACAUGGGAAAGCAGCAGUUAGUUUCUCCAGUGUUAGGGCAAUCAAGCCCAGACAUCAGAUUUAAGCUUCAAAAAUUGAGCUAACCUGCAAGUGGAGACCUGGAAGCAUUAAUGGGAGAAGCCUGGAGAGUGUGUAAUAACAGGGACAAGCAAGAACAGAAAAAGCUGACCACAGCUAUAGUAGCUGCACUAGAUCACACGGCAACAAAAACUGUAUGGACUAUCCAUGACAUGUUUGCGCAGCUAAUCAUGAAAGGCCGCAAGCCACUGCAAGCUCAAUGGCCAUGAUCCACAUGUAAUCUAUGUACCUGCAAACAAAGAAAACUUGCCAUGGUUGUUGUCAGAGGACACUAAAUUUCAGAUUGCACUUGCAGACUUUUCAGGACAAUUGUCUAUCCACUGCCCUUCACAUCACCUGUGGACAGAGGUGGGUAGCCUCCCCUUACAUGCAAAAUGCUGCUGCAGCAUGAUUCCUGUCAAUGGAAUGACAGUUUUUACAGACGCAUCCAGCAGAACCAGCAAAGCUGCAGUAGUAUGGCGUGAGGGUGACUGCCCAAUGGCAUAAAAGGGUUCUGACAGUGCAAAAUGCUUCAGUGCAAAUCCUAGAGUUAGCCGCUAUCUGCUAUGCUUUUCAGUUGUUUUCACAGGAACCACUCAACAUUGUAAGUGAUUCUGCAUAUGCCGCUGAUGUAGUUGUUCGUUUGGAAUCUUCAUACUUGCGCUAUGUUGAUAACCUAAUUUUAUUUGCAGAGCUGUGUACACUGUGGCUUUUGAUUAACAACAAGGCAUGACUUUUAUGUGCUUCGUGUCCAUUCUCAUACAGGUUUACCUGGACCUAUCAUGGAAGGUAAUAACUUGUGCUGAUCUUAUUGUCAUGACAAAUGUUGUGCCUAGUAAGUUUGCUCAGGCUAAGCUGUCUCAUGACUUCUUUCAUCAGAAUGCACUCUCUUUACGAAAGCAAUUCCAAUUGACUGCCUCACAAGCUCGAGACAUUCUGCUUUCCUGCCCCUCUUGCCGUGGAAUUCCUCCUGCUCCUUUAGCAGAAGGCGUCAGUCCUCGAGGCCUAACUGCUAAUUCUGUCUCGCAAACUGAUGUUACUCAUGUUCCAGAAUUUGAUCACUUAAAGUAUGCUCAUGUAACUGUUGACACUUUCUCAUGUUUUUUCAUGGCAACUGCCCAAACAGGAGAAAAGGUUCAUGAUGUUACUCAACACUGGCUCCCACGCUUUGCUACUUUGGGCCUCCCAGACACUAUAAAGACUGACAAUGGCCCUGCUUAUGCUUCUGAGUGGACUCGCCAGUUCUUACAGCAAUGGGGUAUCUCCCACAGCAUGGGUAUCCCUCACUCUCCCACUGGUCAGGCAAUUGUUGAACGUGCUUACAGAACACUGAAAACAAUGCUUCAAAAACAAAAGAAGGGGGAGUUGGAGCACCCACAUGAUAGGUUAGCAAAAGCCCUGUAUGUUCUCAAUUUCCUGAAUUGAGAUGAAGCUGGCCAAACAGCAUGCAAAAGGAAAUAUUCUUUUGAUACAAAGGCUCAUCCCAGGCCUCCAGUGAUGGUGAAGGACCCAGGAACAGGGCAGUGGGCAGGACCUUUAGACUUGUUAACAUGGGGAAGGGGUUAUGCUUGUGUCUCCACAGGUCACCACAUGAAAUGGGUUCCUUCGUGGUGUAUGCGACCAUUUGUUGUAUCAUCCUGAUUGGCAAAGGCAAUCCGAGUGUCGUACCCGCUAUGCACGCCGAUGCUAUGUGCAUCUGUAUGACAACUGCUAGUGAUCCUUUUCUCAUGUGCUUGGUAGGGGUACCCAUUGACAAGAAACACUUUGGUAAGCUGUAUAAUGAAAGCGUGCAGCAAAACUACACGGCCCCAGGUAUAUUGCAGCCUAUGUGGUGGUGCCAGGACCCCUGGUGGAAGACAGGACAGGACAGGAUGAGACAUGGUAUAAAGAUUUGAGAAGGAUGCAUGACUUUCCAGCUUUGCCCUCACAGCCACAAGAACUAGAUACCCUAGGGACUUUGCGCACUUUGCUGUGCUUUUACAUUGAUGGUACAUUUGGUGUUUAUAUGAACAGUGUUAACUUUGAUGUCUCUCCUAAAGGUAUUUUCAGCAAUGCUUCCUUGUGGUGUAAUCAGACCUUGGAAAGUCAACUGACAUCUGGCAUCAGCGCUGUUGCUCUCCCCUAGGACCUGUUCUUAAUAUGCGGGGAGCAUGUCUGGAAAGGUAUACCAGGCACAGCUGUUGGCGGACCUUGCACCAUUGGUCAACUAACCUUGUUUCAUCCAAAUUGGACUGCUCUAAUUGUUGCAGCACAGCAUCGAGUUAGGUGCAGCACACAGGUUCUUAACGAGAAGUGCAAUCCGACGGUAGCUUUCUAGAACGCAGCAGAGCGCAUCUCUGCCAGUUUAGUACCAGCAAUUGGUACUGCUCACGCCUUGGCUUCUUUAAAUAAGCUUGGCUGCUGGCUUGCAAAGGAAGCUAAUGCCACCAGUCCUGCUCUUUCAGCUGUGCUAAUGGACGUUAAAUCGGUGCGACAUGCAACACUGCAAAACAGAGAGGCCAUUGACUUCUUGCUGUUGGCUCAAGGCCAUGGAUGCGAUGAUUUUGACGGCAUGUGCUGCAUGAACUUAAGUGAUCAUUCAGAGUCUAUUCAUAAGAGUAUCAAUAAUCUGAAGCAGCUCAUUAAACAGUUACAGCAACAUAAUGAGGGUGAUUGGUGGGGGGUGUCUUCAUGGCUCGACAACCUUGGCUUCGGCUUCAGGACAUGGUUUAAACACUUAGCAAUGUAUGGCAUAGUUAUCCAUAUGUGCUCUUACUGAUUAUGAUAUGUAUCCCAUGUAUAUUAUCUUGUGUGCAACAAAUGAUCAAUAAUAAUCUUAAUAAGAUAAUGGCCAUACCGGCACAGACAGUUUUAGCUGUGCAACACUUAAAAAACAAAGAAGGGGGAAGUGUGACCCAUAGGUAAAGCUUCGUAAAGGGAAGGCCUGGUCAAAUCAUGGCUCCAGCCUGUUACUUAGCCUAAGUAGAAGAGGACUGCGGGAGAGUGACCCAGCUAGAAUAGAGGAAGUGAGGCGUGCCACGUGAAUGCCUCAUGCCCACACCGUGGUGUAUGGUGGUUGGUUAUGUUAUAAAUGUACUGUGAUGUUGUCUUUUUGCAUGUUACAUAAUUAUUAUGAAUGUAUUGUGAUGUUGGCUUUUCGCAUGUUACAUAAUUGUUAUGAAUGUAUUGUGAUAUUGGCUUUUUCAUGUUCCUUAAUGUUAGAAAAAUUUUACCUAGGUUCUGUAAUGUAAUACAUGAUGUAGAAUGUCUAUUGUUUAUGUAGUCAAUUUAAAAAAGACAGGCCGAGAAAGUCUUCACAUUCCUAGAGUAUCUUAUCAGAGAAGAAAAACCAGAAACCAGAGAGAGAAGAAUUUAUGGAGGGAGUAGAGACGGAAUGGAGCCAAGGAGGAACAUAGGGCUGAUGGGAUGAUACAUAGGAACUCCACAGAAUUUAUGAAUCAUGCAUGAUUGUGAUGAAUAUGCAAUAAGAGAUGUACUUUUAAAGACGAUCUUUUGGAUGUAGAGGUGUGCCUUUGGCUCUGCCAAAGCACCCGGCCGUACUAUCCUUUUUGCUAUUGUCUCCUAAUUGUCCCUUUUAUUAAACUUUUCUUAAAAUUUUA